GAGUUCAUCAUUCAAGUUAUUACUAAAUCCUGUACAUAGGUUCUUUUGUUUAUUUUUGGCAGAUAGCUGAGAAGAUAUGAAUGGUGAGAGGUGAUAUGAGCAUUUUCUGGAUUGCAAGUCAAUGUAGGCAGUUUUUCAGAAUAACAGCCAGAUGAGCCACCCGCUUC
Molecule: long non-coding RNA, 167 nt
Filed under: Chinchilla lanigera (long-tailed chinchilla)
Lineage: Eukaryota; Metazoa; Chordata; Mammalia; Rodentia; Chinchillidae
Description: lncRNA (ENSCLAG00000023705.1)
Source: RNAcentral